RNAcentral lists this long non-coding RNA (2886 nucleotides) under Vigna radiata. RNAcentral describes it as "long non-coding RNA (VRAD_LNC011400)". Lineage: Eukaryota; Viridiplantae; Streptophyta; Magnoliopsida; Fabales; Fabaceae. The record is from RNAcentral.
AAGAAAGUAAGGAUAAUAGGAAAUGAAGAUGGUGAGGUGGUCGUGUAGGAUCAUGUUGGAAUGCUUGAUGAUGGUUUUGUAUGGAAAAAGGUAAUGGAAAAUGAUGAUAGUGUAAUAAAAGUGAUGAAAUUAAUAAGCUAAUAGAAUGGAGUGAUUAUGUGAUGAGAAAAUAUGUGUGUUAGAAAUAAGAUGAUGGUAUGAGAGAGAAGAGAUGUGUUGCUAGAAAAGAGUGAUGGUGUGGGGGAAAAGAAAUUUGUCUUGUUGAAGAAUGAUGGAGUGAGAGAGAAAAGAUGUGUGCAUGUAAGGAUAUGUGUUGUCCAAAUGGAGUGAAAAAUGUGUGAGUAUUUAUAUAGUUAUGGAUGGAGAAGAAGAUGAAUAAAAGAAAUAAAAAAAUCAAUGGAAUAAAGAGAAAAUGUUAGUGUAAUAUAAAAAGGACAAUGAUAUUUUAACAACUCUUUUUUAACAAUUUUUUUACAACAGGACACGUGUCACCAUUUUAUUAGUCUGUUUGAAUUUAUUUUAAAAAAUUAUUUGAAACGGACCAAUCACAAACUGCCACAUAUGCAUUGUCAAAAAAUUAUCAAAAAAUUGUCAAAAAAGAGUUUUUAAAGAGACUUUUUCCAUAUAAAAAUGGGAUGGAAAAAAAGUAGAAGGAAUAAAGUGGACGAAGGAAAUAAUAAUAAUAAAAAAAAGAGGUUGCAAAAAAGUAGAUGAAUAAAGUACAAUUUGAAAAAGUAAAUGGAAUAAUUACAAAAGUUAGUAUGAAAAAAUUAAUAUAAAAAAAGGAUGGAAAGAGUGAAGGAAUAAAGUGGAUGAAGGAAAUAAUGAAAAAGAAGGUUGGCACAAAAAGUAGAUGAAUAAAGUAUAAUUUGAAAAAGUAAAUGGAGUAAUUAGAAACGUCAGUAUAGAUAAACUGAUAUGAAAAAAAAGGGAUGGGAAGAAUGAAGGAAUAAAGUGGAUGAAGAAAAUAAUAAAAAGAAGGUUGGUAGAAAAAGUAGAUGAGUAAAGUUUAAUUUGAAAGAGUAAAUGGAAUAAUUAGAGAAGUUAGUAUGGAGAAAUUAAUAUAAAAAAAGGGAUGGAAAGAAUGAAGGAAUAAAGUGGAUGAAGGAAAUAAUAAAAAGGUUUAGUAGAAAAAGUAGACGAAUAAAGUAUAAUUUGAAAAAGUAAAUGGAAUAAUUCGAAAAGUUAGUACAAAAAAUUAUAAAAAAAGAGAUGGAAAAAAUGAAGAAAUAAAGUGGAUGAAGGAAAUAAUAAAAAAAGGUCAGUAGAAAAAGUUGAUGAAUAAAGUAUAAUUCGAAAAAGUAAAUGGAAUAAUUAGAAAAGUUAGUAUGGACAAAUUAAUAUAAAACGGAGGUGGAAAGAGUAGAUAAAAAAGUAUGUGACAUGGAUGGUGGUGUGGAAUGUGACGUGGAGUCUGAUGUGGACUAUCAUGUGGAGGGUGAUGCGGAGACUAAGGUGUGAGAAGAAAAAAAAGGGUGGUGAGGGAAUAAAAAUGUGUUGGAUUAGCUAGCCUAGUAGGAUAAAGGGUAAAAAGUUAAGUUAGGGGUGCAAACAGUAAAACAAAUUAUAUUUUUUUUUGUGAUGAAUUUUAUUUAUCUGGACAAAAUUAGGUGUUGAAAUUAAGUAUAAGACAACAGUGAGAGUAUUUGUACAAAAUGUAAUAGUAGAAGUACUGACGAUAGAAUGUUAAUAACAUGUCCUUGUAUAAUUAUUUUGAAUGAAGAACAUUAUAUGUUAUGAAAACUGGGGAACAUCUUUUGUGUGAUGACAUUUUAAAAAUUAUACGAUAUGGAUAUGACAUGAUGAAUUGUUGGAUUUGUUAAGCCUGUGUAUUGAUAUUCAAUGUCGUUCUUGAAAUUAAACAUUCCAAGUUUUCUUUACAUUUAUUCAUUGAUUGUGUAUAUUCUUUUAAUGUUCUUCUUGUACAAAUUAAUUUGGGAUUUUAAGGAAUUAGAAAAGAUCAAUUUGGAUUAGACCUAAUUCUUAUAGACAAUAUGGUUGAACCAUAUAUGGAGCCAUUAGACAUAAAUUGAUACCAACUAUAAGGACCUAGUCUUAUGUGCUAAGUGCAAUGUAGGCGAAAGGUGCAAUAGAUAUCAAAGAAUAAGAUAAAUGAUUAGGAAUAACAAGUAUAGAAUCUGAUGGGAGGGACAAAUGACAACAGUAGAUGAGUUUCUCACGAACAAAAAAAGUAGAUGUUAGGUGGAUUAGGACGAGGCAAAGGAUAUGAAGUACAUUAGAAAGAGGGAAGUGUUGAAUAAUGUUAAUGGAAGAACUUUCUUGAACCUUCCUGAUAUAGCACUUCCGUCGAGUAUAAGAUAUUUCAAGAGUUAGUAAACGCUCAACUUUGUAAAUGAUUUUAAACAAAGAUUUUUUUUUCGCGAGCUAUGUAGGAUAUUUACUGUAGUGUUUGCAAGAACUUUUUGAUGAACAAUCGUUUAAUGUGGGGAGUUUUUGUAUUUAAAACUAAAAUGCAACUGCAGGUUUUGUGAAAGAAGCGUUGAGAUUGAAAUAAAUAAUAAAUGCACAAAUAUUUCUAUAUUAGUUCACUCCAACUAAGCUACAUGUAGUCUCUUCUAUCUUAGAUGACUCCACUAUAAUCUUCAACAAGAUUACAAUUGUGUAUUUUCACCACUCUUGGUAUCCCUAGGCAUUCUUGGUAUCCCUCGAUAAUCUGCUUAGUUGAGUUUCACCCACUCCCGGUUGUGCAUUCUUCAUCACUCUUGGUAUCCCAGAAUAACUCCUGUUACCCUAGACUGAUUGAGUUUCACCACUCUCGGUACUAGACAAUCCUGGUAUCCUUUGAUAUGCUACCUAGAUUUCCUUAGCUCGCUUGAGUUUCACAACAAGUGUUUUGAUUCACUAGUGCAAAAACGCGGAUUAAUG